UACGAAGGGGGCUAGCGUUGCUCGGAAUUACUGGGCGUAAAGCGCGCGUAGGCGGCUUUGUAAGUUAGAGGUGAAAGCCCGGGGCUCAACUCCGGAAUUGCCUUUAAGACUGCAUCGCUAGAAUCGUGGAGAGGUAAGUGGAAUUCCGAGUGUAGAGGUGAAAUUCGUAGAUAUUCGGAAGAACACCAGUGGCGAAGGCGACUUACUGGACACAUAUUGACGCUGAGGUGCGAAAGCGUGGGGAGCAAACAGG
This 253-nucleotide ribosomal RNA is filed under the name uncultured bacterium. RNAcentral describes it as "partial 16S ribosomal RNA". It matches the Rfam family "Bacterial small subunit ribosomal RNA", at positions 524 to 776 of the family's 1533-position model. The record is from RNAcentral.